This 4288-nucleotide long non-coding RNA is filed under the name Xyrichtys novacula (pearly razorfish). Lineage: Eukaryota; Metazoa; Chordata; Actinopteri; Labriformes; Labridae. The record is from RNAcentral.
UCUUAAGCUCCCUUUUUACUCUGUGAUGUGUUUUUUGUUUGUUUUUUUUGCAGUUGACUUCAAACUUUUCACAUACGUUUCCAUAAAAGGCAAAAAUUUUGACAUUAAGUUUCAGUAAAAGUUUGUAAGUCAAACAAAAACACAUUACAGUUUUUAGAGUUUAUAGAGUCAAAGGAUUUCCAUUCAUUCACACUCAGCACCUACUGCAUCGCUCGUUCACUUUGUAAGUAUCUCUUUUUCACUUGUAAAUAUUUCUUGCACUUUGUAAAUAUUUCUCUUACCUACUUUUAUUCGUCUUAAAUAUAUAUAUUUUUGCAUUCUUAUCUUAUUGCAUUCCUUCAGUACUUAUUGUGUGUUCUAUCUGUACUCCUUUGAGUCGAGCGGUUCUCUCAUCCAGGGCAUUCCAUUGCAUUGUUGACCUUGUUUAACAUGCACAUGACAAAUGAACAAAUCUUGAAUCUUCCUCAUGACAGUGCUGUCAUGCACCUAAGCAGAUUGUAUCUAAGCUAUAUGUAUAUUUAUAUAUGUAUGUGUUUAUGUAUGUAUGGAUGAAAAGAUAGAUAGAGGAUCUAUCUGUGCCUGUGUGGAUCAAAGUCUUGAGAUUAAUCUUUUAAUCUCCAAAUCUGGUUCUGUCACUUAAAGCCUCCUGAGUUUAACUUGCCUCCUCAUCAACAAAGUAUUGACAAUACUCCUCCAAAGCUCUUUAGCUGAGUCAAUUUCUGCCACUUUAACACAACAUGGACCGAGGGAAAAGUCUGCAGCCUUUGCCUGGAGUCAAUCUGGAUUUGGCCUCCAGGAGGGAUCAGAAAAGGUGAAGCAAACAACACUUUCUUCUUUGACUUUUGCCAUGAAUCUGCCUCUAAUUAGGUGGCAACAUAGUGAUAAUCUGUUUUUCCAUGCAGAAAAGAGAAAAAAAUGUGGUGUAAUCAACCAAACUGAGUGGAUUUGAACAAUCUUGAACGAGAAAGUGAUGAGUUAUUGUGCCCUAGUACUCAUAAACUCUGUCUUAACCUUGUGGUGUAAUUAAUUGUUGCCCAAAAAUAUUUUAAAAAGGUUCUGCCUAUUUGCCCGCACUCUUCUGUUACAUUUUGAAGUGAAGUCAAGGAACGUUAAGUUUGCAAAGGCCAUCAGUCUCAAAUGUCUAAACUUGAAGUACAGUUAGAAGGUCUGAUUUAUAACCAACAGUAUCAUCACUAUAAACCACAGCAAUAUUGUGUGAAAUAAAUCACAAUCAGUCACUUUUAUGUUAGAGAAGGAAAGUUAGUAUUCAUGUCUUGCAGUCUUUGGUGGUCACUGAAGUUCGAACCAGCAAACUCACAGACUUAAUGCUGAUUGUGUGAUUUGGCCAGAGGUUGAUCUGACUCCAAAUGUCAUUAGUAAGGGAUUUAUCUCAUGAUGAAGCAGCAGCAUAGUGAGAUCUCUCCACAAGACUUUUCCCUCUCCGGCGCCAAUAUACACCCGCCCAACUGCAGCUUUGAAAAAUUAAAACAAGAUCUGAAACAUUGAUUGAAAUUUCUGCACACAAACACAAGAGAUGCUUGUGAACUGGGCAGAAAUAUUCUUGCUGUGGGAAAACUCUGUUCUCUGUUAAAUAUAGAUCUGUGUGCUUGUUGGUGUUGUUUGUUUUGUUCUACAAGCCUGAAUUUGAUGAGUACAGAGCAGGACAUGAAGUUUAGAGUAAGAUGAAGAAGGUACUUAAUUCUAUAAAAACUUUUUUUUCCCCUAAACUUUUCCCUUCAGUAAAUAAUCCCACACAUACAGAACCUGUUUGAAAGAAAGUCAACAACAAAACGUGAACUCCUGAAAGGUGCUCAUGGUGUCACAUUAACCAGGAAUCACUAGAGUGAAGUGAAUUAUUAAAAGUAUAACUGCACAUUACUUUGACACUAAUUUGACGCUUUUUACUCCUGCAUAUUAAAUUGAAACUGUGUUAUCCACCCCUAAAUAAGCACUUUGAAGACGUCUCUCACCUCUGAUUAAUGCUUUUGGAUCAUGCUGGUGCAGCAGGGCAGCAUUUAUAUCUAAAGGUCAAGAUUAGAGAUACACCAAUGAAUCAUAUUGACUGAUUAAUUGAGUUGAUUUAAGGUAUUUUGAAACGAGCCGCACAGCCAAUAUCUGGGCUCAUUAAGCCAAUUAAAAAUGAAGAAAUCCUUUUCGCAAACACUACAGACACUUCUAAGGUGGGGUAGGCAGGGUUACGUUAAAGAAGCAUCUUUUUUUGUGGUGUAAAUACAAAAGAGCUUUUAAUAUCAGUCAAUAGCUAUUAGUUAUUGAUGACAUUUGGAAAUAUAAUGAUAUUACUGUGUUUUGUUAUGUCUGUGAUUGGUUGUGAGGCGGACGCUGCUCCCUCGUGUUGUGAGGCAUGCUCAAUGUCCUCCAACAACAUUCACGAGCCCAAAGUUAGCGUGCUACAACAUCGGACAGUACAAACCAACCAGAAAGUAUGGAAAUACAAGCAAGAAAACGAAGUAAAUACCGGAGACUCUGGCGGAAUAACGGGCGCUUAAAACAGAGGUAGACCGGACAAGAGCUAAGAAGCCGGGUCAACAUCAGCAUAAACAAUGGGGGAUGCCUCGAGAUCUUACCAACCCUGUAACCUUUCUGCUGAAUUUAAUCGAAACGAUAUGAGUGAGCAGGAGCGUCUACUUGUGGGCAGGGCUUGCUGGAGCAGAGCGCAAGGGGAGAGGAGGAGCUAAAGGGAAAAACUGGUUGGGAGGGGUAGUGUUUACAUUCAAGAUUUCUCCCAUAAACUGGCAGUUCCUCAGAUCCGGCCUACCUCACUUUUAACUCAUUAAAUGGCAGCAAAUUAAAUCUAACAGUUACCCCCAAGAGUUUGACAAGUACUCUAUAUAAAAGAACAGAUUUGGCAUAAAUAUGUCAUGUUUUAAAAUUUACAGCACAGCCCAAUAUAACUUUCCAUUAAUUCAUAAUCCACCUAAAACAUGUCUUUGGUUAAGUUAACUAUUUAUAUCAUAUUGCAAUUUGCAUAAAACAACUAGUUUCAUUAUUAUUAAAUCAUUAUCUUAAAUAAAAGGCAAAAAAAAAAAAAAUGGUAGAGACGAUCAGCACUUUAUUGGAUGACCAGUUCUGUCAAUUAUUGUCAUCCCUAUCAGCCAUAGUCGACCACUAGUCUAAAUCAUUAAAUACAUCUUAUUGCAUUGAUUUUUUUCCCUAAAAUUAAGACACAGGUAAGAAAGCUUUACAUCAUUAAUUAAGGCUUGAAAACAGUUUUGGAUUAUAAAAUAAUGAGAUCCUCAACACGUGAUGAGAAAUGCAAUCAAUAAUUUUAGCUACUAAAAUUUAAAUUUCUCUGAUUGAUCUGUAAGAAAUCAUCUUACAGCCUCCGUUUUAAUCAUUAACCAUCCCUGAGAUUAGCUUUUCAAAGUCCCACAGCGAAACCUCGGAGACUUUGAUGAGACAUAACAACAUGCACAGUUCAUUUAUUGACGAGCUGAGUGGGUUUGAGAGAAGUAUCUGUAAGGAAAAUCUGAUCAGUUAGUGAGAAGUGUGUGUACUCAUGUGAUGAGUAUCAGAGUUCAUUUGAGAUGUCAUCAGUCUAUCUCAGUGGCUUAUCCUCCAAGUCCUGAAAGCUAAAACUGACUGAUCCCCCGAGAGCCACUUUCUCUCUCUCUCCUGAUGGAAAUCAAUAUCUAAGAUUUGAACUUCACCACCCUUAAUUCCUCCAUUCUCUGCAUGGUCAGAACCCUCACUCGCAGAUGCAUCCAAAAGGGGAAAAACUGUGUAAUUUCCAUUUCUGUCAUUAUAAUCGUUUGAGCCAGACAGCACUGCGGUCCAUUAACUUCACAUCUCGCUGUCACUCUUCAUCCCACAGCGACAGGCGGCUUCCUGACAGCAGAUUGGAACCAAGUUGGAUUCACGCUGUCAAGCUUCUCUGUUCGAGUUAUUUCUGGCUGCUGGAGUCCGGGACAAAGAGAAGAACACAGUCAUGAACGUCUGAGCACAAGUUGGAUGAGUGGUUGAGCUUCUAUAUUCUCCUCGAUCAAGCAGAAGAGAUUUGGUGACGUGUCUGUAAACAACAGCGUGAAUAAAUGAAUGGGGACACUAUUGUAGGUCAUUUAGUCUCAGUCUGUCUUGAGUGGAUGUUUAUCCCUUCUUACUCCAUCACAAUAUCACUGGCAUAUCUACUGAGGAGCUGGAUAUACUCAUGCAUCACUCUGUCCCUUAAAUAGACAGCACGCUGUUAUCUUAGACGGGCCAAAAUCAGAGCCAUUAAACAUCUUAUGUCCUCUAAAUAAAAAGGCACCAUCGAGUAAAAUGCUCAAGACUC